Molecule: non-coding RNA, 28 nt
Filed under: Mus musculus (house mouse)
Lineage: Eukaryota; Metazoa; Chordata; Mammalia; Rodentia; Muridae
Source: RNAcentral
UGUGGAAUCUAGGAGAGUCUUGUUUUGG